This 126-nucleotide microRNA precursor is filed under the name Mesocricetus auratus (golden hamster). RNAcentral's name for it is "miRNA (ENSMAUG00000001895.1)". The record is from RNAcentral. Lineage: Eukaryota; Metazoa; Chordata; Mammalia; Rodentia; Cricetidae.
GGUUUCUCUGUGUAGCACUGGCUGUCCUGGAACUUUCUCUGUAGACCAGGCUGGCCUCACACUCAGAGAUCCGCCUGCCUCUGCCUCCCAAGUGCUGGGAUUAAAGGCACGCGCCACCAACGCCUG